Molecule: ribosomal RNA, 250 nt
Filed under: uncultured bacterium
Lineage: Bacteria
Description: partial 16S ribosomal RNA
Rfam family: Bacterial small subunit ribosomal RNA
Source: RNAcentral
UAGAUACCCUGGUAGUCCACGCCGUAAACGAUGGAUGCUAGCUGUUAUAGGUAUCGACCCCUGUAGUAGCGAAGCUAACGCGUUAAGCAUCCCGCCUGUGGAGUACGGUCGCAAGACUAAAACAUAAAGGAAUUGACGGGGACCCGCACAAGCGGUGGAGCGUGUUGUUUAAUUCGAUGGUAAACGAAGAACCUUACCCAGGUUUGACAUCCUUGGAAUUUUGCCGAAAGGCGAGAGUGCUUUAUUGAGC